This 345-nucleotide unclassified non-coding RNA is filed under the name soil metagenome. RNAcentral's name for it is "partial contains 5.8S ribosomal RNA, internal transcribed spacer 2, and large subunit ribosomal RNA". The stretch from base 1 to 120 matches the Rfam family "5.8S ribosomal RNA", at positions 35 to 154 of the family's 154-position model. The record is from RNAcentral.
GAUGAAGAACGCAGCGAAAUGCGAUACGUAAUGUGAAUUGCAGAAUUCAGUGAAUCAUCGAGUCUUUGAACGCACAUUGCGCCCCCUGGUAUUUCGGGGGGCAUGCCUGUCCGAGCGUCAUUGCUGCCCUCAAGCACGGCUUGUGUGUUGGGCCUCCGUCCUCCUCCCGGGGGACGGGCCCGAAAGGCAGCGGCGGCACCGCGUCCGGUCCUCGAGCGUAUGGGGCUUCGUCACCCGCUCUUGUAGGCCCGGCCGGCGCUUGCCGACACAUCAAUCUUUUUUCCAGGUUGACCUCGGAUCAGGUAGGGAUACCCGCUGAACUUAAGCAUAUCAAUAAGCGGAGGA